RNAcentral lists this ribosomal RNA (393 nucleotides) under uncultured bacterium. RNAcentral's name for it is "partial 16S ribosomal RNA". It matches the Rfam family "Bacterial small subunit ribosomal RNA", at positions 523 to 918 of the family's 1533-position model. The record is from RNAcentral.
AUACGGAGGAUGCGAGCGUUAUCCGGAUUUAUUGGGUUUAAAGGGUGCGUAGGCUGUGCGUUAAGUCAGGGGUGAAAUGCCGUCGCUCAACGACGGAGCUGCCCUUGAUACUGGCGUGCUGGAGUACGGAUGCCGUUGGAGGAAUGAGUGGUGUAGCGGUGAAAUGCUUAGAUAUCACUCAGAGCACCGAUUGCGAAGGCAUCUGACGAAUCCGUCGCUGACGCUGAGGCACGAAAGCGUGGGGAUAGAACAGGAUUAGAUGCCCUGGUAUUCCACGCCGUAAACGAUGAUGACUAACCGUCGGCGAUAGACAGCCGGUGGCCAAGCGAAAGCGAUAAGUCAUCCACCUGGGGAGUAAGUCGGCAACGAUGAAACUCAAAGGAAUUGACGGGG